Molecule: ribosomal RNA, 862 nt
Filed under: uncultured Methanosphaerula sp.
Lineage: Archaea; Methanobacteriati; Methanobacteriota; Methanomicrobia; Methanomicrobiales; Methanoregulaceae
Description: bacterial SSU rRNA
Rfam family: Archaeal small subunit ribosomal RNA
Source: RNAcentral
UUCUGGUUGAUCCUGCCAGAGGCCACUGCUAUCGGAGUUCGAUUAAGCCAUGCGAGUCGAGAGGUGCAAGACCUCGGCAUACUGCUCAGUAACACGUGGACAAUCUAACCUAUGGAAGGGGAUAACCCCGGGAAACUGGGGAUAAUACCCUAUAGACUAUGAAUGCUGGAAUGCUUUGUAGUCCAAAGGUCAGCCGCCAUAGGAUGGGUCUGCGGCCGAUUAGGUUGUUGUUGGGGUAACGGCCCAACAAGCCUGUAAUCGGUACGGGUUGUGGGAGCAAGAGCCCGGAGAUGGAUUCUGAGACACGAAUCCAGGCCCUACGGGGCGCAGCAGGCGCGAAAACUUUACAAUGCGGGAAACCGUGAUAGGGGAACUCCGAGUGCCCGUUAAAUCGGGCUGUCCAUCAGUUUAAAUAACUGGUGAAGAAAGGGCCGGGCAAGACCGGUGCCAGCCGCCGCGGUAAUACCGGCGGCUCGAGUGGUGGCCACUAUUACUGGGCUUAAAGCGUUCGUAGCUGGUUUGUUAAGUCUCUGGGGAAAUCUUCCGGCUUAACCGGAAGGCGUUUCAGGGAUACUGGCAGACUAGGGACCGGGAGAGGUGAGGGGUACUCCAGGGGUAGGAGUGAAAUCCUGUAAUCCUUGGGGGACCACCUGUGGCGAAGGCGCCUCACCAGAACGGCUCCGACAGUGAGGGACGAAAGCUGGGGGAGCAAACCGGAUUAGAUACCCGGGUAGUCCCAGCCGUAAACGAUGUGCGUUAGGUGUAUCGGUGACCACGAGUCACCGAGGUGCCGAAGAGGAAUCGUGAAACGUACCGCCUGGGAAGUACGGUCGCAAGGCUGAAACUUAAAGGAAUUGGCGGG